RNAcentral lists this ribosomal RNA (395 nucleotides) under uncultured bacterium. RNAcentral describes it as "bacterial SSU rRNA". It matches the Rfam family "Bacterial small subunit ribosomal RNA", at positions 30 to 428 of the family's 1533-position model. The record is from RNAcentral.
AUUGAACGCUGGCGGCAUGCCUUACACAUGCAAGUCGAACGGCAGCGGACCUUCGGGUGCCGGCGAGUCGGCGAACGGGUGAGUAAUAUAUCGGAACGUACCUUUCAGUGGGGGAUAACGUAGCGAAAGUUACGCUAAUACCGCAUAUUCUGUGAGCAGGAAAGCAGGGGAUCGCAAGACCUUGCGCUGAUUGAGCGGCCGAUAUCAGAUUAGCUAGUUGGUGAGGUAAAGGCUCACCAAGGCGACGAUCUGUAGCGGGUCUGAGAGGAUGAUCCGCCACACUGGAACUGAGACACGGUCCAGACUCCUACGGGAGGCAGCAGUGGGGAAUUUUGGACAAUGGGCGCAAGCCUGAUCCAGCCAUGCCGCGUGAGUGAAGAAGGCCUCGGUUGUAA